RNAcentral lists this ribosomal RNA (456 nucleotides) under uncultured Sphingobacteriales bacterium. RNAcentral describes it as "bacterial SSU rRNA". It matches the Rfam family "Bacterial small subunit ribosomal RNA", at positions 927 to 1382 of the family's 1533-position model. Lineage: Bacteria; Pseudomonadati; Bacteroidota; Sphingobacteriia; Sphingobacteriales. The record is from RNAcentral.
AAGCGGAGGAGCAUGUGGUUAAUUUCGAUGAUACGCGAGGAACCGUUACCUGGGCUCGAACGUAAGAUGACUGUAGGUGAAAGCUUACAUCUCUUCGGAGCAUUUUACGAGGUGCUGCAUGGUUGUCGUCAGCUCGUGCCGUGAGGUGUCGGGUUAAGUCCCAUAACGAGCGCAACCCCUACCUUUAGUUGCCAUCGGGUAAUGCUGGGGACUCUAAAGGAACUGCCUACGCAAGUAGUGAGGAAGGCGGGGAUGACGUCAAAUCAGCACGGCCCUUACGUCCAGGGCUACACACGUGCUACAAUGGCCGAUACAGAGGGCAGCUACCUGGUGACAGGAUGCAAAUCUCCAAAGUCGGUCUCAGUUCGGAUCGGAGUCUGCAACCCGACUCCGUGAAGUUGGAUUCGCUAGUAAUCGCGCAUCAGCCAUGGCGCGGUGAAUACGUUCCCGGGCCUU